Long non-coding RNA from Mastomys coucha (southern multimammate mouse), 512 nucleotides. RefSeq lists it as uncharacterized. The transcript is spliced from 3 exons. NCBI's taxonomy places the organism in Eukaryota, Metazoa, Chordata, Mammalia, Rodentia, Muridae. The record is from RefSeq and is a predicted model, not a curated record.
GUGUGACAGGGUGCUGAGAACUUGAUGACAUCUCCCCUGAGUUCAGAGGCAGGGGAAUACAGGCUGCAAAGAGAACAUCAGACUCAGCAGAGGGGAGAACCGUGAUACCUGAGGCCCCGGUUUCUCCCAGCUCGCUGGAAAGAAACCAGGGUUCUGUCCCAGAAGCUCAAAUGAGAUGGGUCCUGGCAGCAGCACAGGGAGGAUGAGAAGAAGUGUGUGGAGCUUCUUGAAUGGCGAAUACAUUCUGCACAGCUGUCCCAACCAUGGCUCUUGCCAAGUUCCAAGUCGCUGUGGUCCCCAAGGGUGCUGAGGUGGGAACAGAGCACAGCAGCCUCUUUGGAGGUGAAAUCCAGUUUUCUUCUGGAAAACGGCUACUUCUGAUUGCUAGAGAAAUAGAGGAAAGUCUUUAAAAGGCUCCAGCAUUCCCGCCGGCCCCCAAAUUGUCGGCCUCCAACAUUUUGAUGAUUUAAGUGUUGACGGAUUAAAAACAUGUGGUUCGUGUUUCCCCUGAA